RNAcentral lists this long non-coding RNA (964 nucleotides) under Hordeum vulgare. RNAcentral's name for it is "long non-coding RNA (HVUL_LNC007798)". Lineage: Eukaryota; Viridiplantae; Streptophyta; Magnoliopsida; Poales; Poaceae. The record is from RNAcentral.
UUUUGUACUUGGAUAUUAGCCCAGAUUUGGAGCAAUAUGUCCAUGUGAUAAUUCAUACAUGCGGUGCUAACUAGUUUACAUGGUCAGAAAAUCGAGCACUUUAUGAUCUACUUCAUAAUUCAGACUCAAUAGCUCGACAUGUCAACUACUUGUGUGAUUGUGAUUUUUACAUUCGUUUCAUCACAAGCAUUACCUGCACUGGAGUGCUUGCAAUUUCAUUUAGGAAUCAAGACAACUGAAAUUCUUAACCGAAAUGUAGCUCUCUUGAUUACAGGGCACAUUUUCUCUCAGGAAUGAGAUAGUAAUUGAGCGACCAGGUAUAGCGGGUAUAGCGAUUCGGCCAGACAACAAGAUUGCAGCAACUGCUGGUUGGGAUCACAGGUUUGUCCCCCAUUCUUAGCUUUUAUUGCUGACCAGGUUAUAGGUGAGAUUCAUGGUAUAUGUGAGACUCCCCUGACACAAGCAUGGGAACCCCGAACCGAGGGCUUCAGGGGAAAUUUGGUCGUUUGACAUCUCUAGUUUUUCAAAAUUUAACUAUGUGGACUUCCUUGCCCCCCCCCCCCCUUUUCUUUUCUCCAACAACUCCCCACACUUCCCUAUGUGCACCCCGGACACCAGUGUUGGCUGCGCUCAUCGUUACAGCACCUAUACCUGCCCUUGUGCUAUGUAAUGUUCGCUAUGUAACCCAGUGUUGGAACUCAGCAGUGCAACUUGAAUUAGAACUGCAAGGAACAUAGGCCAUGCCACCUAUGAAACCCAGCGUUCAACCUAUGUAACCCACACUUGUGCUACGUACCCAGUGUUCGCCUUUAGCAUCAUGGACUUGCUGUACANUGUGUGAUUGUGAUUUUUACAUUCGUUCAUCACAAGCAUUACCUGCACUGGAGUGCUUGCAAUUUCAUUUAGGAAUCAAGACAACUGAAAUUCUUAACCGAAAUGUAGCUCUCUUGAUUACAGGGCACAU